UGCUAUGAUGUUGAGAUCAAAUAAUCUCGUUAAUCUGAUCUACUUCUUUCAUGAGGAUAACUAUUCUUAUCCAUUCACUAUUCUUUCUGAGC
Molecule: small nucleolar RNA, 92 nt
Organism: Abrus precatorius (Indian licorice)
Lineage: Eukaryota; Viridiplantae; Streptophyta; Magnoliopsida; Fabales; Fabaceae
Product: small nucleolar RNA U30
Exons: 1
Source: RefSeq, a predicted model, not a curated record